CCUACGGGCGGCAGCAGUAAGGAAUAUUGGGCAAUGGUCGGAAGACUGACCCAGCCAUGCCGCGUGCAGGAAGACGGCCCUAUGGGUUGUAAACUGCUUUUGGCCGGGGAUAAACCUCUCGACGUGUCGGGAGUUGAAGGUACCGGUCGAAUAAGCAUCGGCUAACUCCGUGCCAGCAGCCGCGGUAAUACGGAGGAUGCAAGCGUUAUCCGGAUUCACUGGGUUUAAAGGGUGCGCAGGCGGGCGAAUAAGUCAGGGGUGAAAUCCUACAGCUUAACUGUAGAACUGCCUUUGAUACUGUUUGUCUGGAGUGAAGUUGGAGUGGGCGGAAUGUGUUAUGUAGCGGUGAAAUGCUUAGAUAUAACACAGAACACCGAUCGCGAAGGCAGCUCACUAAACUUUAACUGACGCUCAUGCACGAAAGCGUGGGGAUCAAACAGGAUUAGAUACCCCUGUAGUCU
This 461-nucleotide ribosomal RNA is filed under the name uncultured Bacteroidales bacterium. RNAcentral describes it as "bacterial SSU rRNA". It matches the Rfam family "Bacterial small subunit ribosomal RNA", at positions 338 to 796 of the family's 1533-position model. Lineage: Bacteria; Pseudomonadati; Bacteroidota; Bacteroidia; Bacteroidales. The record is from RNAcentral.